This is an RNA transcript of Triticum dicoccoides, 624 nucleotides long. RefSeq lists it as uncharacterized. The record is from RefSeq and is a predicted model, not a curated record. The transcript is spliced from 3 exons. NCBI's taxonomy places the organism in Eukaryota, Viridiplantae, Streptophyta, Magnoliopsida, Poales, Poaceae.
ACCUGGAUCCUGCAGCCGGCGGUGUGAGGAGCGAAUCAAGACGCCGCCAGGUCAUGCCCGACCUCGCGGGUGCAGGCCGACAGCAGCCGAUGACCCUCUCCCGUCUGCUGCACCUCCCUCUCCUAUUUCCUCCCACUUUCUCCAUCGGCGGUGGCGGCGGCGGCGGCAAGAGGAAAGAGGGUCCCAGGGGGAGACGCGGGCUAGGUCUCGCUCUCGCUGCCCACUCGCUUCGCUCCUUCUUAUCUCGCUGCUCGCCGGUUUUUUCCUUCGCGUGGCGCACUCGCUGUACUGAUGAUGUGUGCAGAUCGGAUGAAGAAUACAAGAGGAAGGACCUUGAGGAAGACUGAAGAACAAUGUAUGGAUCUUCAAUUAUAAUGAUGAUCAUAGCAGGGAGAUAUACCAUACUAAGAGCAUGCAAAGGUUUGUUUCUAUUAUAUUCUUUUCACUCUACCUUGCUUAUUUUGUCUACCUCAUCUUAAACCCAAAAUUCAAAAUGGUUCCCAACUUAUAUACCAUAGAGUAGGGAUGCAGGCGGACGGUGUCCAUAUGUCCGCAAAGCAAUAACUGCACUAAUUUGCAUUACAUUAAUAACCGUGUUAGUGUUUAUGUUUCUUCAGUCUGCAC